This 35-nucleotide non-coding RNA is filed under the name unclassified sequences. RNAcentral describes it as "DUF805b RNA". It matches the Rfam family "DUF805b RNA". Rfam says of the family: Bacteroidetes, Chlorobi (1 example), Proteobacteria. The record is from RNAcentral.
AUAGCGGAAGCCGAAAAGCUGUUAUAGAGUAGGCA